RNAcentral lists this ribosomal RNA (465 nucleotides) under uncultured organism. RNAcentral's name for it is "bacterial SSU rRNA". It matches the Rfam family "Bacterial small subunit ribosomal RNA", at positions 28 to 507 of the family's 1533-position model. The record is from RNAcentral.
GACGAACGCUGGCGGCGCGCCUAACACAUGCAAGUCGAACGGAGAAAGCGCUUCGGUGUUUUCUUAGUGGCGGACGGGUGAGUAACGCGUGAGGAACCUGCCCUUCAGAGGGGGAUAACGUCUGGAAACGGACGCUAAUACCGCAUGACAUAUUCGGGAGACAUCUUCUGAAUAUCAAAGGAGAAAUCCGCUGAAGGAUGGACUCGCGUCCGAUUAGGUAGUUGGUGAGGUAACGGCCCACCAAGCCCGCGAUCGGUAGCCGGACUGAGAGGUUGGCCGGCCACAUUGGGACUGAGACACGGCCCAGACUCCUACGGGAGGCAGCAGUGGGGGAUAUUGCACAAUGGAGGAAACUCUGAUGCAGCGACGCCGCGUGAGGGAAGAAGGUCUUCGGAUUGUAAACCUCUGUCUUCAGGGACGAAACAAAUGACGGUACCUGAAGAGGAAGCCACGGCUAACUACGUG